GACGAACGCUGGCGGCGUGCUUAACACAUGCAAGUCGAGCGAUGAAGCUCCUUCGGGAGUGGAUUAGCGGCGGACGGGUGAGUAACACGUGGGUAACCUGCCUCAUAGAGGGGAAUAGCCUUUCGAAAGGAAAAUUAAUACCGCAUAAGAUUGUAGCUUCGCAUGAAGCAGCAAUUAAAGGAGUAAUCCGCUAUGAGAUGGACCCGCGUCGCAUGAGCUAGUUGGUGAGGUAACGGCUCACCAAGACGACGAUGCGUAGCCGAACUGAGAGGGUGAUCGGCCACAUUGGGACUGAGACACGGCCCAGACUCCUACGGGAGGCAGCAGUGGGGAAUAUUGCACAAUGGGGGAAACCCUGAUGCAGCAACGCCGCGUGAGUGAUGACGGUCUUCGGAUUGUAAAGCUCUGUCUUCAGGGACGAUAAUGACGGUACCUGAGGAGGAAGCCACGGCUAACUACGUGCCAGCAGCAGCCGCCG
RNAcentral lists this ribosomal RNA (478 nucleotides) under uncultured bacterium. RNAcentral describes it as "partial 16S ribosomal RNA". It matches the Rfam family "Bacterial small subunit ribosomal RNA", at positions 28 to 523 of the family's 1533-position model. The record is from RNAcentral.